AAAGUAACAUAUUCACAGGUUCCAGGGAUUAGGUCAUGGACACCUUUGGUAAGCCAUUCUGCCUACCACAGGAGUUAUUGAACAUUUCUAAAGAGGCAAAUUAAAUUACCUAAACCUGUUUAAAUAAGCAUUCCUUUCUCUGCGGCUGUAUUUUAGCAAUAGGCUUUCUUAUCCUCUAGGAACCAUGGCAGUGAUGCCUGCAGGGACUCUGCUAGCAAAGCCAUUAUAAACCAGCAUCCGCAUGUCAAAACAAGUGGUGCUAUGGCCCUAGCUGCAAACAGAUAAAGCAGAGAGGAAGGGAAUAUGCCUGCUUCCAUGAAUAGGGGGUGCUCAGCUGCAUCUCCAUUUCUGGGAGAAUUUAUGAGUGACGCACAGGCCAGGAAGCAUGGAGAGCUUCUCUCCCAGAAACAGAUGCUACUGAUCCCCACACAGAAGCCACCUCAUUCCCAGUACUCCCAGACACUGCCUGCCAGAUGGCCACAGCUGAAUCCACAGCUGAAUAGAUAUCUGCUGUUGGCACCAAACAUACCUCUGUGGGACUGGUUAAGGACCCAAGAUGGUGUGGUAGAGCAUAAAACACACAUGAACAAUAAAAAUGCUUGGGAGGUGCCCAGCACUGUGCUAAGCACUUUACAGGUGUUAACUCAACCUACACAACAGUCUCAGAUGGAUGCUGUGAUUCUUGUACCCAUUUUUUAUAGGCUUGGAGAGGUUGGGUAGCUUGCCAAUGGUAAUAGAACCUGUAACCAGCAGAGAUAGAAUUUAAAUGGAGGCAAAUAGUAUGUGAUCACAGUCUCCAGAAUCUGUGAUCAUAGACACUGCACUAGCUAUGUUUGAUGUCAAGAGCCCUUUAGCCCUCUGCCCCAGAUUACCAAGCAUCCAAGCUUACCUUGCUCCAGCUCAGAUAUGCCCAAAAUCCAAGUAAUUGCCAUGUGUUGAAGCACCCUGUUCUUGGUCAGUGGCCAAGAAUAUUUGCUUCUUCUGGGAUGAUAUGUUGAGCUAAGGAAAGGAAAACUGAAGCUGACACGUAAAGGAUAUCUGUUGCCAUGGAAAGCUUAGAGAACUGAAGACAAAUAGUAAUGACACUGGAAGAGGAUCCAAGUAGGAAAAAGUGAUGUGUGACUCAAGACUUACUUAAGAAUCCUGGGUACCCUAUGUAUGGAUAAAGGGCAAAUGUCAUCAUCCUGAGCAUGAAUAAACUGCUUAAUAUAGACUAGGAACUGAACUUUACCUAUUGCAUGGAUCAUCUCACUUAAUUCUCAUACCAUCUUUACAAGAAAAGUUUUUGCUCCUAGUUUGCAGAUGGAAAACUGAGGCUGAAUGAUGUCCAGUAACCUGUUUCGAGUAUCUCAGUUGAUAAAAGGCAGUUUUAUUAAGGUUGAACCUAGGCAGUCUGACACAAAAAAUAAUUCAUUAUAUUCCACGUUUUCUGUUCCAAAAUGUCACAGGACACUUUUCAAUUAGUUCCUGGGAUGUUGGGUUGACUCAGGAGAAAUACAGUCUGUCUUAGCACCACACUGAAACUGGUGUCAGUCAGGUGCGCAUAUGCUUCAUGGAACCAUGCCCACAGAUUAAAAGAUGCUCUGCUUUCUUCCAGUAUACUAGACAUAGGAUGCAUUUUAUUAAUGACCAUUGAAUGCAUGAAUUGAAUCAAACUGAAAGAGUAAAGAUAUUGGAGAGUUGAGGUCUAUUGCUGAAUCAGCAAACUGGAAAGAAAGUCAUGGUAAGAACAUAAUGAAGAGGGAAAAGUGAGGUUAUAUCUUGAAACUAAGUUCUUAAGUCAGGCCAAGGUACUGUUUGAUGAAAUUGUGUAAUUGUGAAAUGUGGCUGUAACUUGAAUCACUUUUUCCAAGUGCUGUCAUCUGCCAGAAUGGUACCAGCUCUGGCUGGACCCUGUGAUCAUUUCUCAGGUGGGGUCAGAGCAUGUUCAGGGAGGUAAAAGGAACAGAAAUCUAGCAACUACUAUGGUGUGCAAAUUAUAGAGACACAUGACCAUGUACAUAGUAAUUGUUGCCAACAGAAUGGUAACUUUUAAGAAAUCCACUGUUUGGAUGAAUGGCCAAGUAACAUGGGCUUUCACUGUGUAUAUAUUGGGCACUGAACUUCUACCAAGACUAGAAAAUGAAGGGUAUAGAUGUAAAAAUUCUUACCUGAAAAAAAUGCAGAUAAGGCGCUAUUUCAAUAGAGUUUUGAUAGUUAAAUACAAUACACUGAGAAACAUGCCUGACAAGAAGGAAGUAGGACAUAUAUAAUUUGAAUGAGUUAAUAAAGCACAAGUAUAUCCAAAGGAACAUGAUAAGGAAGCAUUCAGUUUUUUUCUUCUCUCCCUUUUCCUUUUCAAAUUAUCACCUGUGCCAGUUGCUGUGACUACUUUGUAAAACUUGGGGGCAUAAAACAACCAAUUAUCAUUCUCAUAGAUAAGUGUUUCACAGACUAGGACAGGUGACAGCUGGAGGCAUUGUUUAUGCUCAACAAUAUCUAGAACCUCAAAGACUAGGGCUGGAAUCCUCUAAAGGCUUUGUCACUCACAUAUCUAGCUGAUAUGAUGUCUAUGUCUGUAUGAUAUCUAUAUCACAUAUGAUACCUAUUACUAUAUCACAGAACUGAGUGUGGCCUGAGACUUUAGAUGAGACCAUCAAAACAGUCAGCCAGAACAUCUUUAUGAGGCCUGGGCUUCCUCACAGUAUGGCAGUUGGGUUCCAUCAACAAGCAUCCUGAGAGCAAGACAAGAUGAAGCUGUACUCUCUUGGUCAGAGCAUUCUCUUCCCACUCAGAUUCAAGGGAAAAGAAAAUGGUUUCUAACUCUUCAUAGGGAAUGUGCAGCUUCUAGAAGAGAAUGCAGAACUGUGAAUAUUGCUGUGGCUGUUUUUUGAAAACAUAAUUAUGCCCACUGGCAUCUAGAUCCCCAUGGGUAUAAUCCAUUAGAUUUAUUAUUUUUAAAAAAGCAAGGAAAAGAUUUUUUUAUAUUAAUCACAUGUUGGUAUUCCAGCACAUCCAAAUCUUAACAAAAUUAUAUUCUGAAAUUUUAAAGUGAGUUUGGCUUAAGAAUAUGUCUUUAUUUCUUCUCAUUUCAAUGUUAUAUGCAUGCCCAACCUUAAAAAUUAAAAAAGAAAAUAAUAGAUUUUUUUUUAAUUAAGCAAGCAUAAUAAGUCCUAAAUGAAUCAGUAGUGUUUUUGCCUCAUAUACAUUUUCUCAUUCUCCCUUGUGUUUGGAUAUUUACAGCUAUAUAUUUCCGUUUAAUUUAAACAUAGCAUUUAGGGAAAAUAUGUAACUGGGCCUUUCUUAGGUCUAGUUCCCUCAUCUAUCAAAUGGAAAAGAAUGGGAUGCAUAAGCAUUUCACAAAGUGCACUCACUGGUGUGCUAAUCAUAAUAACAUUAAAAAGGUACUGUAAUCGAAUAAUUAAACAGUGGGACAUGACAUUUGUUGUAAGAUUUCUCAGAGCCAUUAAUAUUUUUCCUCAAACCCUUUUUUGACCAUGGACUUUCUUUUGAAAGAUCACCUUAAAGGACUAGACUACAUAUGAGAAAUGAUAAAAUGAGACAAUCAUUUUUAAUUUGCAUUUCUAAAGAACACCAUGUAAUAGAGACAAGCAGUCUUUCCCCCAAAGUAUACAAAGGAAAAACAAAAAGAAUUUACUCAAUGCUACAGGUCAGUCUACUUAUUUAUUUCUAACCAUUUGGGCAUCUAUUACAUGUUUCUCUUCUAAGAUAGAUUUUGAGAUGGCAUCUUCCCAGUCUUGCUUUUUAGUAAUAACUAUUUACCUUCUAUGAAGCUCAUAUCAUGGGUUAGCCCAUGUCAAACUCUGCAUGAAUGUCUUCAUUUAGUUCUAUAAAUGAUCCCCAAAAGUUGCUGUCCCCAUUUUCUAGGUGUUGAAACUAAACCUUAAAAAUUUUAACAAACUCAUCCAAGGUCAAAGAUAAAAAGCAAAGGCAGGUUUUAAAACCAGGUCUCAAGAAGUCCAGGAGUUCCCGUCAUGGGUCAGUGGUUAACGAAUCUGACUAGGAACCAUGAGGUUGCAGGUUUGAUCCCUGACUUUGCUCAGUGGGUUAAGGAUCUGGCGUUGCUGUGAGCUGUGAUGUAGGUUGCAGAUGCUGCUCGGAUCCCACGUGGCUGUGGCUCUGGUGUAGGCCAGCGGCUACAGCUCCAAUUAGACCCCUAGCCUGGGAACCUCCAUAUGCCAUGGGAGUGGCCCAAGAAAUGGCAAAAAGACAAAAAAAAAAAAAAAAAAAGUCCGGUGAACUAUGCUAAUACAUUGGAUUCUGGCAUUUUUAUUUCACAACCACCUAUAUAAAAUAAUGGGUGAGGCUUCAUAUCCACAAAUUACUCAUAUAUUACUCAUAUUAUUAGUAAUUAACCUCAUGUUCCAGCUUGUCCUGCACACCAAUUCCUGACCUAUUUCCAGCCUUCUCAUUGUAGACCUUUAAAAUGGAUGAUGAUGGAACUGAUAAUGUUUAUGCUGCUGAUGAUAAUGGUGAUAGUUUAUUAUAUUACUGUUAUUUUUUAUUAGUAUUAUUUUAUCACUGGCUAUAGAACCUAACUUUUUUUUCUUAUGGCUGUAUCCAUUCCAAGUAGUGGAACUGUGAAAUACCCCAAAGGAGGGAGGAGGCAGCAUGUGCAAAGAUCCAGGGGACAAUGAAGCGUGGACAUUGAAGAGAGGAGACUGACCAUUUUGGCUGGAGCACAGAGUCUGGCCUGUACCUCCCUUUGCAUUUAGAGCCUUGUAGGCUAAGAAGGGGGUUUAAUUGUCAGAGUAGUGGGAUGCCACUGGAGGUCCUAAGCAGGACACUAAAAUUAACUUAAUUGCAUUUUUAAGAAAAUCACAUUGACUGCAACCACAAGAAAGAAUCAGAGGGACCAAGGUAGAUUUAAGGUAACCAGUAAGAAGGCUAUUACUAUAGUCCAAUAAAAAGUGUUGACAGCUGAUUUCUAAGGGCCUUUUCUGCUCUUAAAUUAGAUGUUAUUGUGACUAUUAGCAGAAAUUAUAGAAGCUACUGGCCUGCAUUUUUUGAAACAAGCGCUAAGUUCUAUUGAAUUUUAAUACCAUUCCUUAGGAGAUAUGUAUUAUUUCACAAUGGGAUUCCAAACUUGUCAAAUUAUCUCUACAAAUAGGGACACUUCAUUGAUUGUGAUUAUUGAAAAGGGAGUCCAACUAAUCAGUUUUUUGAAAAGUCAAACCAUCUGGGAUGUGUAUAUGUGCAUGUUUAUGUGUGUGUUCUAGUUAAUGACAUAGAAAUGUCCUAAAGGCUAGACAUACAUUUUUGGAAACAGGCAGUGUCAGCUAAUCCAUCACUGAAUAAAUAUUUAUUGAAAGUAUUCAUUGAGCACUUACUAUAUGCUCAAAAUUGUUCUUCCCUGUAGGAUAAAGUACAAUGAAACAAAUUAGCUCUCUCUCUCUCUCCUGCUCUCCUUCUCUCCCUCUCUCUCUCUCUCUUUCUCUCCUUAAUUCUAUAUGAAAAAAAGCAGGGUUUUAAAUAUACAACACACAGGUUCUGACUUUUGAUUCCAGCCCCACAACUGUGUGACUUGAACUAGUCACUUUUCUGAGAUUGAUGUCCCUUAUCUAGAAUUAAAGGAUAAUAGUAUAUAAGGAUUUUAAGAAUAACAUCUGAGAGUUUUCUAAGGAUUGAGAUAACGUAUUUCAAUCACCUCACACAGUACCUGGCAUAUAUUUUUACAAUUAACCAAACCAAGGUUCUUAAAUUUAGAUUCUACCAUAAUUACUUUGGGCACUCAUGGUCAUGUUUGGCAAUAAUUUUAAUGACUUUGCUAAAACAGUUUCACCACUACUUCUGCCUCCGUCUGUAAAAAAGCCCAGCAUUGUUCAUGGGCAGUUUCUCACCCCUUCCUACUGUAACAAAAUGGAUACUUUCUUUAAACUAGAAAACACAGUGUCUGGUAUUGCUUACUUCAAUUGGCCAUGGGUCCCAUAGGAUCAAAGUCUGUGAACAGACAGCUCUCAUACCUUUGGGGGAAAAAAAAAAGUCUCAGUGGUCUCAAAUGUAUAAGCUUUUAUCUACUGAGGUUUUAAUACACUUAAAUUCACUAGAGUAAGGGCGGCAAAUCCAAAAUAUGCCCAAAUAUAAGUCGGUCUUUUGUUUUUCCUCUGUGAAAAUCCAAAAAAGAGGUCAAGCGUCAACCUAAGUUGCUGAAUGUAUUAAAAUAGCUUCAGAUUCCUUUAUCAUUCAAAUGAAACCUCAAAUUCUCCUCAUCCUUCUUCAAGAUCUUUGUAUUUGUGUCAUUUAACACAGAUCUUUAGAGCACAUAAUUUUCCUUUCCAUCAAAGUCAUCUGAAUGUCAGAAAAUGUGAAUCCCUGUAGGGUGAUGUCACCUGCCCCCCAGUAACCACUCCCAUAAUAUGCUCUUCUGUUGCUUGUGCUUUUCCAUUCCUCCCAUUAGCAUGAAUUUUUGACCUCCAGAGUGUAACUACUUACUCCAUUUCUUUUAAAAGCCAUCUUUAAUAGGCUUGUUUACAAUGGUGUCUAAGCUUGUAAUUGUGAGGUAAGAGCUCCAGGAAUAAUUGCUAAAUUGUGUUAAAUUCCUUGCCUCUAUUUUCCAAUUUUUAAAUGAUUCUGCCAGUGACCUCUUUAAGCAAUCCAAACUAGUAUUGAUUGAGGUCCUUUCCAGCUUAUAUGCAGUACUUUGUUCAAGCUACAGUAAUUGCAAAAGUGCUCUAUAAUAUGAGAUGCUUUACUAGGACUCGGAUAUGAAUAUUCCGGUGGGGUGGGUGGGGAUGAUGUUUCUUUAAGGAAAAGAUCACCUUGCCUCAUAUGUAAACAAAAAGUUUCCAUUGCAUAAAUGUCACUAUGCUCCCUUUACCUUUGCAGAAAAAAAAAUUUAAUAUGUCAUGCCAUUCUUUUGCUUUGAGGCUGGGCUCUAUUUCUCUCAUCACUGCUCUACAGACAACUCAUUUUCUAAGCCAAUCUAAGAUUUACUCUACUAUGUGUAUUUAUCUGUUCAGCAUUUACUUUAUGUAAGCAUUGGGAUGAAUGCCUUUCAUUUAUUUUUUCAAAUGCUGCUAAGUGUUCACAACAAACCAUGAGGCAUAUUUCUGUACUGUCCAUUUUGCGGAAGAGAAGAACUGAGGCUUGGAGAAAUUCAGUAACUUGCCAAAUACCACACCUGAACAGUGGCAGAGUUGAGCCUCAAAUUCAUGUCUACCUGAUUCCAAAAUUUUGUCUAUAGAAGAAGUAAUAGUAUUAGACAUCUCUUGG
RNAcentral lists this long non-coding RNA (7212 nucleotides) under Sus scrofa (pig). RNAcentral describes it as "lncRNA (ENSSSCG00000059066.1)". The record is from RNAcentral. Lineage: Eukaryota; Metazoa; Chordata; Mammalia; Artiodactyla; Suidae.